Molecule: ribosomal RNA, 779 nt
Filed under: uncultured bacterium
Lineage: Bacteria
Description: bacterial SSU rRNA
Rfam family: Bacterial small subunit ribosomal RNA
Source: RNAcentral
ACGAAAGCGUGGGUAGCAAACAGGAUUAGAUACCCUGGUAGUCCACGCUGUAAACGAUGAGUGCUAGGUGUUGGGUAGCGAUACUCAGUGCCGCAGUUAACACAAUAAGCACUCCGCCUGGGGAGUACGUACGCAAGUAUGAAACUCAAAGGAAUUGACGGGGACCCGCACAAGCAGCGGAGCAUGUGGUUUAAUUCGAAGCAACGCGAAGAACCUUACCAAGGUUUGACAUCCCCUUGACAGAUGCAGAGAUGUGUCCUCUCCUUCGGGAGCAAGGGAGACAGGUGGUGCAUGGUUGUCGUCAGCUCGUGUCGUGAGAUGUUGGGUUAAGUCCCGCAACGAGCGCAACCCUUAUCCUUAGUUGCCAGCAGGUAAAGCUGGGCACUCUAAGGAGACUGCCGGUGAUAAACCGGAGGAAGGUGGGGAUGACGUCAAAUCAUCAUGCCCCUUAUAUCUUGGGCUACACACGUGCUACAAUGGUCGGUACAACGGGCAGCAAAGGAGCGAUCCCAAGCGAAUCCCAAUAAACCGAUCCCAGUUCGGAUUGUAGGCUGCAGCUCGCCUACAUGAAGUCGGAGUUGCUAGUAAUCGCGAAUCAGAACGUCGCGGUGAAUGCGUUCCCGGGUCUUGUACACACCGCCCGUCACACCAUGGAAGUUGGUAAUACCCGAAGUCGCUGAGCUAACCGCAAGGGGGCAGGCGCCGAAGGUAGGAUCAAUGACUGGGGUGAAGUCGUAACAAGGUAGCCGUAUCGGAAGGUGCGGCUGGAUCACCUCCUU